RNAcentral lists this ribosomal RNA (218 nucleotides) under uncultured bacterium. RNAcentral's name for it is "partial 16S ribosomal RNA". It matches the Rfam family "Bacterial small subunit ribosomal RNA", at positions 1283 to 1500 of the family's 1533-position model. The record is from RNAcentral.
CAGUCUCAGUUCGGAUUNAAGGCUGAAAUUCGCCUUCAUGAAGCCGGAAUUGCUAGUAAUCGCGAAUCAGAACGUCGCGGUGAGUACGUUCCCGGGUCUUGUACACACCGCCCGUCACACCAUGGGAGUCGGGAAUGCCCGAAGCCGGUGACCCAACCGAAAGGAAGGAGCCGUCGAAGGCAGGUCUGACAACUGGGGUGAAGUCGUAACAAGGUACC